Molecule: transfer RNA, 72 nt
Filed under: Megaceryle lugubris (crested kingfisher)
Lineage: Eukaryota; Metazoa; Chordata; Aves; Coraciiformes; Cerylidae
Description: tRNA-Pro
Rfam family: tRNA
About the family: Transfer RNA (tRNA) molecules are approximately 80 nucleotides in length. Their secondary structure includes four short double-helical elements and three loops (D, anti-codon, and T loops).
Source: RNAcentral
CAGAGAAUAGUUUAAUGAAGUAAUACCAGCUUUGGGAGUUGGAGGUAGAGGUUUAAGUCCUCUUUUUCUGAU